Molecule: long non-coding RNA, 1264 nt
Filed under: Homo sapiens (human)
Lineage: Eukaryota; Metazoa; Chordata; Mammalia; Primates; Hominidae
Description: HSALNT0106526
Source: RNAcentral
GCCCCCGUGACGUGAAAGGACCUGUACAGAGCCACACAGCUCUGGUAGCCAACUGAGACUGGGCCCAGGGUCCAAGCUCCUUGAAUAAGGCCUGACUGUACAUGUGUGCACAUACCAGGGAGGCAGGGGCUCAUCCGGCCCCAUCCUCCCCUGGCCCCACAGCGGGCACUCACGGUCUUCCUCGGGGGGAAGACAGGGAGAACCCAGUGCCUGUGGAAGGUUAAACAGUGCGUGGGCUGAGCAAGCGUGCCGGGGCUACCUGGCCGGGCAUGCUAGGGGCUUGCAGCAGACCUCAAGUGCCAGGGAAUGGAGCCGCUCUGUAGGUUUGGACAGAGGAAGUGGAGGCUGGGAUGGUGGGCUUCAGGCGGCGAGGCAGAAGACAUUCUAAUUAUUCAGUCAAAGGAGGCUUUGAGCUCUGCUGGGUGAAGGGGAGGAGGAUUUGUGCAGCAGCUUCCACCAGUGAGGCACAUGUGGCUGUACCUUCCUCACUGCAUCACUGCACCCAUUUCACAGGGUCACCUCAUUGCCCAAGAUGGCUGCUGGAGCCCCAGCCAGCAGGAAGGAAGAAGAAAGCCUGAAGAAGGACAUGCCCCUUCCCUUCAAGGAAGCUUCCUAGAAGUCACACUUAUAUUCCAUUGGCCAGAACUCAGUCAUCUAGCCAUACCUAGCUGCAAGGGAAGCUAGGUAGUCUAGUCUUUAUUCCAUGGGGGUCUGGCUAAAAGUUGGGAAAUAAACGAGGAAUGGAUAUUAGGAGACAGGAUCUGCCACAAAGCCUCUUUGUUCCUUUUAGAUUGCAACUGCCAGAGGGUAAGUGGGGCCUUCCCAACGCCCUGCCUCAAGCAAUCCUGGUUCUCUCCCUUCUCUGAGGUCUCAGUUCUUCCCUGAUACUCAGUAGUUACUGCCUGGAGCUGCUAAAGGCAGCAGCACAAUGCCACAUCCGGCUGCCGUUGGCUGUUGUCCACCGUCUGCAGAUCCAGGCCAGUGCACUCACUUAUCUCACAACAGCUCAACAGGCAGCUAGUCUUAGUCCCAUUUUAUAGUUGAGAAAUUGAGGCCUAAAGAGGUUAAGUAACUUGCCCAAGAGCACGCAGCUGGGCUCUGAGCCCAGUUCCUGUGUGUUUCUUUCUUUCCUGUUGAGCCUUCCCUGUAGGGGUGGAUGCCCUGGGCCUUCUCAGGGUCUGACAAGAGGAACUGGAAUGGUCUGAGCCCUAGGAGGGGCCUGUCUGGGAGGAGAGGGCAGGCAGGGGCGUGACCUGGGUCCUCA